This 497-nucleotide ribosomal RNA is filed under the name uncultured bacterium. RNAcentral's name for it is "partial 16S ribosomal RNA". It matches the Rfam family "Bacterial small subunit ribosomal RNA", at positions 28 to 507 of the family's 1533-position model. The record is from RNAcentral.
GAUGAACGCUGGCGGCGUGCCUAAUACAUGCAAGUCGAGCGAACAGAUGAGAAGCUUGCUCCUCUGAUGUUAGCGGCGGACGGGUGAGUAACACGUGGAUAACCUACCUAUAAGACUGGGAUAACUUCGGGAAACCGGAGCUAAUACCGGAUAAUAUAUUGAACCGCAUGGUUCAAUAGUGAAAGACGGUUUUGCUGCUACUUAUAGAUGGAUCCGCGCCGCAUUAGCUAGUUGGUAAGGUAACGGCUUACCAAGGCAACGAUGCGUAGCCGACCUGAGAGGGUGAUCGGCCACACUGGAACUGAGACACGGUCCAGACUCCUACGGGAGGCAGCAGUAGGGAAUCUUCCGCAAUGGGCGAAAGCCUGACGGAGCAACGCCGCGUGAGUGAUGAAGGUCUUCGGAUCGUAAACCUCUGUUAUUAGGGAAGAACAAAUGUGUAAGUAACUGUGCACAUCUUGACGGUACCUAAUCAGAAAGCCACGGCUAACUACGUG